This 1723-nucleotide unclassified non-coding RNA is filed under the name Hevea brasiliensis (rubber tree). Lineage: Eukaryota; Viridiplantae; Streptophyta; Magnoliopsida; Malpighiales; Euphorbiaceae. The record is from RNAcentral.
UAAUCCAAAAAGGAAUUUCAUAAUGUCUGAGGCCAAACAAGUAUUGAAUUUCAAAAUUGGUUAACAGUCAGUGAUCUUAAAAUGUACAGAGCCAAAGAUGACAUUAAUCGGUCUUCACCAUGAGCAAUAAAAAUCAGUUGAUUCAUAUUGCAUUUGCCCUUUAACUAAUACAUAAAUGAAGGUUUUGAUAAAAACUGUUCUUAAUCCUAAGGGAAAAAGGAACAUUUAACUAGCAACUGAGACAAGCUCAUGCAUCUAGUGGUUUGAUUGUAGACACCGCCAUAGAUUAGUUUCUCAGGUGCAAUGAUUAACGCUUCUUCUUGCUUGCUUUUGCUGCACUGGACUUGGAGGGGGUAGCAACCAGGCACACAAACAGAACCACAAUGGAGAUGACAGAAAUUACAGAUCCAUAUUUUGCCAAUAGCCUCUGCAUACAGAAAGGAGGAUAUCAUUUAAAUAUUUUCUCCAAGGUGUGAACGUCAAUAAAUAGAUUUGAAAUAUGUACACUUCUAUAUUCAAUGAUUAAUUAGGGUCUAUUUGGCAUUAUUAAUUGAGUUGCUAUUGAUAAAAGCACUACUUUAAAUAUGUUGGUUAGAGGUUAUUAAACAUUGUUUUUAUAUUAAAUUUAACAUGUUUUAGUUAUAAAAACUCCAAAAGCUUAACUUCUUUAAAUUGUUCAUUUAACAUCUAAAAGGUGUUUUUCCAAAAAGUAGGUUUCAGCCUCAAUGCCAAACAAGCUCUUAAUCAGCAGGGGCAAAUCAGCUUCAAAAGGAGGAUGCAUGGGUUUAUUUUGCAUAUUUAUGGCCAAGUUCCCGGAUAUAUUAUUCAACAGCAAGCAUCACAAAGACAAUGAGGAGACGAUUCAUACCUUAGCCUACAAAGUUUGGCCAGUGCAAUUCCACAGAACAAUAAGUCAAAAAAGAAGAAGAGGCUUCAGUCAAUAGGAAAAUAUGCCCUCAAGCAUAAAAUAGCAGAUUUAUACACCUAAAAAAUCGGCAAGAAACUUACCCACUCAAACUUUUUUUCAGGAGGUCUCUCUGCAAGAACGUCUAGAGGCAGUAUGGGAGUUGAAUAUGCCUCCUGUAGAGCCGACUUUGUGGGAAUGCGAAAAGUAAUAACUGCUGGGGAACCAUAAAACAUUCCUUUCACUUUGCCCUCCAAUUCAAAAGAGUGUGACAGGAUACCACCACUGCAAAAUGCAGCGUGAAAAACAUUUCACAGACAAAGGAUCACAAAUGCAAAAUUGACUGCAACUACUGAAAAACAGUACUCACGCAUCAAGUCUUUCCCAUGACUGUGAAGUGUUGCCACUGAUGACAUCAAAUAUAUCUUGAGGCCAGCGAUCAUCAACAAGACUUACAUCAUAAGCAGUCGAAGUUCCCUGAUUGUAGAUAUCUAUGGAGACGGAGACGCGUUCGGAGCCGGAUUUGAGCCUGUUGAGAGUGGCCUUCUUAUUGGCUACUAUGAAGGGAACAUCUGUGCUAGCGAGCGACGACGACACCAAAAAGAGUGCUAACAAUAUCAAGAUUAGCGACUUGCUAAUUGGAUUUGUCAUUGAUUAGUGCUCGCGGCGGAUGAUGGUGGCGCUGGUGGUGGCGACGAGGAGGAUUUCGAUUCUGAUUUGGUUGAUUUGUCUAACAGAAAUGAGAAGGCGCAGCACGAAGAACUGAAAAACUGCUAGGGUGCGUACGUAGUAAUUGGCAAAUUACAGAAAACUCCCGUG